CACUUAUAACACAUCGGAAUGUUUGUUUACUGGUGUAAUAGACCUCUAAAAUUAAAUACAACUUUCAGCAACGGAUCUCUUGGCUCUCGCAUCGAUGAAGAACGCAGCGAAAUGCGAUAAGUAAUGUGAAUUGCAGAAUUCAGUGAAUCAUCGAAUCUUUGAACGCACCUUGCGCUCUUUGGUAUUCCAAAGAGCAUGCCUGUUUGAGUGUCAUUAAAUUCUCAACCUGACUUCGGUUUUACGACUGUUGACAGGCUUGGAUUUGGGGGUUGCCGGCAUCUGUAAAAAGAAAGUCAGCUCCUCUUAAAAGUAUUAGCAGUAACUAGACGACUGUUCCUUGAUGUGAUAAUUAUCUACGUCUUGUGCAAUAGAAAUCAUUAUAACGUUAUGCUUCUAACUGUCUGUUAACUCGGACUGUUUGCUUGUCAAACAUUAUGACUCUUGACCUCAAAUCAGGUAGGACUACCCGCUGAACUUAAGCAUAUCAAUAAGCGGAGGAAAAGAAACUAACAAGGAUUCCCCUAGUAACUGCGGGUGAGGCGGGAAAAGCUCGAAUUUAAAAUCUGUUAGCCUUUGGUUGACCGAGUUGUAAUUUAGAGAAGCGUCUUCCGUGC
Molecule: ribosomal RNA, 614 nt
Filed under: uncultured fungus
Lineage: Eukaryota; Fungi
Description: eukaryotic LSU rRNA
Rfam family: 5.8S ribosomal RNA (bases 60-213)
Source: RNAcentral